AUUGAACGCUGGCGGCAGGCCUAACACAUGCAAGUCGAGCGAGUGGCGGACGGGUGAGUAAUGUAUGGGAAUCUGCCUGAUGGAGGGGGAUAACUACUGGAAACAGUAGCUAAUACCGCAUACCAUCAGAUGUGCCCAGAUGGGAUUAGCUAGUAGGUGGGGUAACGGCUCACCUAGGCGACGAUCCCUAGCUGGUCUGAGAGGAUGACCAGCCACACUGGGACUGAGACACGGUCCAGACUCCUACGUGAGGCAGCAGUGGGGAAUAUUGCACAAUGGGCGCAAGCCGGAUGCAGCCAUGCCGCGUGUAUGAAGAAGGCCUUCGGGUUGUAAAGUACUUUCAGCGAGGAGGCGUUACUCUCAGAAGAAGCACCGGCUAACUCCGUGCCAGCAGCCGCGGUAAUAC
This 406-nucleotide ribosomal RNA is filed under the name uncultured bacterium. Its description in RNAcentral is "partial 16S ribosomal RNA". It matches the Rfam family "Bacterial small subunit ribosomal RNA", at positions 30 to 526 of the family's 1533-position model. The record is from RNAcentral.